CAUAUUCCAAAUUGAAUCCAGCCGGACUCUCGACCAUUGCAGCUGAGCUCCCGAGAAUCCAAAAUCGAGACGCCACCACCACCACCACCACUUCUUCCUCCCUCCGCGCCUCGAGCUCGGCCAUUGCUUAGCGCCGCUGAUAAGCCUGUGCAAAGCUCGUGUUGAAGAACGCCUAGAAGAAGUUCAAAAGGCGAACUCUCGACCUCUACCUCUACCUCUACCUCGAAUACUCAGACAUGGUCUCUGUCUCCAGCUUGGUGUGAAUUUUCACGAUGAAUCGGUUAAUUCCACAUUUGAACCGAUUGAAAUGGCAUUAGCCUGAGACUGUUUGCGAGCUUGUUGAAAUCUCUGCGUGGACAACUUAAGAGGCUUGAUCAUGCUGAUUUGAGAUACAAGUGCACGACAUAUGCACGCCUCUUGCAACACUUGAAGGUGGUUGAUCAGGGUGCUUCUGGGGUUGGGAUUGGGAAUUUUGAGGAGAUUGGGCCAUUAGACACAUAUUUGAAGCCAAGAAAUUCAACAUGGCUGACAAAAGCUGAACUCCUCUCUGUGUGUAGGAUAAUCCGGUUGGGACAGGAUACAGUUUUGUGGAAGAUCUGGAAUUGUUGGUGAAAACUGAUUAUGAAGCUGCUGAUGAUCUAACAACACUUUUGAUUGAGAUUUUCAAUAACAAUGAAACUCUCCAAAAUAGCCCUUUAUAUUGUGGCUGAAUCUUAUGGAGGAAAAUAUGCUGUCACUCUUGCAUUAUCUGCUCUCAAAGCAAUUGAAGCUGGGAAAUUAAAGCUCAAACUUGGAGAUUUGCUACUCUUGCAACACGAAUGGAGCAAUACCUUCAAGGACAAUGGAGGGAUAUGGUUGAUCGGGCUUACACAAAGUUUUAGUCCCUCUCUGCCAAUGCAAACCUCACUCAAGAUUUCUCUCUCUCUCCUCGGUUUACCCUAGUUUCUCUGUGUGCUAGUUUGGGAGAUAGAGCUCAGGUUGAGCAGCUGGUGCAAUAUAUUGUUGAGGAACCCUAGAGGAUACUGAUAACAAAAGGACCUUCAGAUGUCACAGGUUUUACUUGGAAAAUGACAUCUCAACUGCAAAAAGAUGAGUAUUAUCAAGAAUUUCGAGUAAGCAUAUUUUUUAUUAAUAUUUGGAGUUAGCAAAAUGAAGUUUGUGAAGUAGAAACUUAAGGUAUAAUUUGUUUAGUAGACAAAUUACUGUAACAAGAAAUAUUGUUCGAGUAAAGUUUGUUUGUGUUUGGGAAUUAAAUACUGAUGGUUGUUUAGAUAUCUCAUUUUUUCAUUAAUACAUCUCCUUUAUCUUGUUUCCUCCUAAUUUUGCGAGGAAUGAUUCGGGUGCCAACCCUGACUGGAGAAGUUGUUGUAAAGGGAGCUAUUGCUGCAGAACAUGGAGCAAGUUCAUGAUUCUCUGGCCUCAAUCAAUGUCUGGACUUAGAAAGUCACAGGGACCUCGAGAGUGUUGGAGGAUCACGUGAACUCCGUGUUGAGUCACUCUGAAGUACUCUACUAGCAGUCUAAGGGGAUAAUGUCGACUCAAAGGAAGCUGAGCGAGGUGCAAGCUUUGAUGGAGGAGAAUCUGGCACAGCGAACAACGUUGCUUCAGAGCUCAGACGAAAAUCUUAAGAGACAAAAUUGUCAAGCUGAGAACCGAAGUAGCUGAGACAGAGGUCGAGAAUGGGAAGGUUGCGGAUGCAAUGUCGUCGAGGAUGAGUGUCCUGCAGAGUGAAACAGACGGUCUAGGGAAUAUGGUUGGGAUGCGUUGGAUAAACAAAAAGAGCUUUUGGAUGGCCUGUAUGUGGCUUUCGUUGUAUUUUCUUUUUAACAUAAUGCAAUUAUACAUUUCAUUCUUUUGUCCUUGUUUUAACUAUUAACAUUUAUGCCUAUUAAUCAUAAUUUUUGGAUUUAAUGUUUA
Long non-coding RNA from Salvia splendens (bonfire salvia), 1917 nucleotides. RefSeq lists it as uncharacterized. The record is from RefSeq and is a predicted model, not a curated record. The transcript has 10 exons. NCBI's taxonomy places the organism in Eukaryota, Viridiplantae, Streptophyta, Magnoliopsida, Lamiales, Lamiaceae.